Molecule: ribosomal RNA, 263 nt
Filed under: uncultured archaeon
Lineage: Archaea
Description: partial 16S ribosomal RNA
Rfam family: Archaeal small subunit ribosomal RNA
Source: RNAcentral
AGUCACUGACAUUAGAUACCCGGGUAGUCCAGGGUGUAAACGCUGCAGACUUGGUGUUGGAAGCCCUUUGGGGGCAUUCAGUGCCGGAGAGAAGUUGUUAAGUCUGCUACUUGGGAGUACGUCCGCAAGGAUGAAACUUAAAGGAAUUGGCGGGGGAGCACCGCAACGGGAGGAGCGUGCGGUUUAAUUGGAUUCAACACCGUAAACUCACCAGGGAAGACUGUUACAUGAAGGCCGAGAUGAAGACUCUGCUAGAUUUUCAG